GGCUCAGAUUGAACGCUGGCGGCAUGCCUUACACAUGCAAGUCGAACGGCAGCACGGGAGCUUGCUCCUGGUGGCGAGUGGCGAACGGGUGAGUAAUACAUCGGAACGUACCCUGAAGUGGGGGAUAACGUAGCGAAAGUUACGCUAAUACCGCAUAUUCUGUGAGCAGGAAAGAGGGGGAUCGCAAGACCUCUUGCUUUAGGAGUGGCCGAUGUCGGAUUAGCUAGUUGGUGAGGUAAAGGCUCACCAAGGCGACGAUCCGUAGCGGGUCUGAGAGGAUGAUCCGCCACACUGGGACUGAGACACGGCCCAGACUCCUACGGGAGGCAGCAGUGGGGAAUUUUGGACAAUGGGCGCAAGCCUGAUCCAGCCAUGCCGCGUGAGUGAAGAAGGCCUUCGGGUUGUAAAGCUCUUUCGGUGGGGAAGAAAUUGCACAGGAUAAUACCUUGUGUAGAUGACGGUACCCGCAUAAGAAGCACCGGCUAACUACGUG
This 493-nucleotide ribosomal RNA is filed under the name uncultured bacterium. Its description in RNAcentral is "bacterial SSU rRNA". It matches the Rfam family "Bacterial small subunit ribosomal RNA", at positions 21 to 507 of the family's 1533-position model. The record is from RNAcentral.